RNAcentral lists this ribosomal RNA (849 nucleotides) under Staphylococcus aureus. RNAcentral's name for it is "partial 23S ribosomal RNA". It matches the Rfam family "Bacterial large subunit ribosomal RNA", at positions 1304 to 2149 of the family's 2925-position model. The record is from RNAcentral. Lineage: Bacteria; Bacillati; Bacillota; Bacilli; Caryophanales; Staphylococcaceae.
GAGUAGCGAAAGACGGGUGAGAAUCCCGUCCACCGAUUGACUAAGGUUUCCAGAGGAAGGCUCGUCCGCUCUGGGUUAGUCGGGUCCUAAGCUGAGGCCGACAGGCGUAGGCGAUGGAUAACAGGUUGAUAUUCCUGUACCACCUAUAAUCGUUUUAAUCGAUGGGGGGACGCAGUAGGAUAGGCGAAGCGUGCGAUUGGAUUGCACGUCUAAGCAGUAAGGCUGAGUAUUAGGCAAAUCCGGUACUCGUUAAGGCUGAGCUGUGAUGGGGAGAAGACAUUGUGUCUUCGAGUCGUUGAUUUCACACUGCCGAGAAAAGCCUCUAGAUAGAAAAUAGGUGCCCGUACCGCAAACCGACACAGGUAGUCAAGAUGAGAAUUCUAAGGUGAGCGAGCGAACUCUCGUUAAGGAACUCGGCAAAAUGACCCCGUAACUUCGGGAGAAGGGGUGCUCUUUAGGGUUAACGCCCAGAAGAGCCGCAGUGAAUAGGCCCAAGCGACUGUUUAUCAAAAACACAGGUCUCUGCUAAACCGUAAGGUGAUGUAUAGGGGCUGACGCCUGCCCGGUGCUGGAAGGUUAAGAGGAGUGGUUAGCUUCUGCGAAGCUACGAAUCGAAGCCCCAGUAAACGGCGGCCGUAACUAUAACGGUCCUAAGGUAGCGAAAUUCCUUGUCGGGUAAGUUCCGACCCGCACGAAAGGCGUAACGAUUUGGGCACUGUCUCAACGAGAGACUCGGUGAAAUCAUAGUACCUGUGAAGAUGCAGGUUACCCGCGACAGGACGGAAAGACCCCGUGGAGCUUUACUGUAGCCUGAUAUUGAAAUUCGGCACAGCUUGUACAGGAUAGGUA